AGCUCCAAUAGCGUAUAUUAAAGUUGUUGCGGUUAAAAAGCUCGUAGUUGGAUUUCUGCCGAUAGUUGGCGCUCCAUCCUUAGUGGUGAGUAGACGUCAAACUGCCGGCAUCUUCCUGGGGAGUAGUGAUGCACUUAACUGUGUGUCCUAUUAGCCAGGACUUUUACUUUGAGGAAAUGAGAGUGUUCCAAGCAGGCGUACGCCGUGAAUAUGUUAGCAUGGAAUAAUAGCAUCGGACCUCGAGCCAAAGCUGUUGGAUCCUUGGAACGAGGUAAAGGUGAAUAGGGAUUGUUGGGGGCAUUCGUAUUUAACUGUCAGAGGUGAAAUUCUUGGAUUUGUUGAAGACGAACUACUGCGAAAGCAUCUGCCAAAGAUGUUCUCA
Molecule: ribosomal RNA, 382 nt
Filed under: uncultured eukaryote
Lineage: Eukaryota
Description: SSU rRNA
Rfam family: Eukaryotic small subunit ribosomal RNA
Source: RNAcentral